RNAcentral lists this ribosomal RNA (281 nucleotides) under uncultured Mycobacterium sp. Its description in RNAcentral is "partial 16S ribosomal RNA". It matches the Rfam family "Bacterial small subunit ribosomal RNA", at positions 1070 to 1350 of the family's 1533-position model. Lineage: Bacteria; Bacillati; Actinomycetota; Actinomycetes; Mycobacteriales; Mycobacteriaceae. The record is from RNAcentral.
AGAUGUUGGGUUAAGUCCCGCAACGAGCGCAACCCUUGUCCCUAGUUGCCAGCACGUAAUGGUGGGAACUCUAGGGAGACUGCCGGUGACAAACCGGAGGAAGGUGGGGAUGACGUCAAGUCCUCAUGGCCCUUACGGCCAGGGCUACACACGUACUACAAUGGUCGGUACAGAGGGUUGCGAAGCCGCGAGGUGGAGCCAAUCCCAGAAAACCGAUCCCAGUCCGGAUCGGAGUCUGCAACUCGACUCCGUGAAGUCGGAAUCGCUAGUAAUCGCGAAUC